Nannospalax galili (Upper Galilee mountains blind mole rat) is the source of this 858-nucleotide long non-coding RNA. RefSeq lists it as uncharacterized. The record is from RefSeq and is a predicted model, not a curated record. NCBI's taxonomy places the organism in Eukaryota, Metazoa, Chordata, Mammalia, Rodentia, Spalacidae. The transcript is spliced from 3 exons.
GCAAAACCCCCGCACUUCCGGCCUCGGCGAGUGAAGCGCAUAUUGGAGCUCCGGAAGCAGCCGGGCGCCGUAACCGCCCUUCGAGGCCGGCUACCCUCCAGCAGGCACCCCCCCCCAGGCCCCUCGGCGGUGCUGCGAGGACCAAGAAGAGAGGACUGAGCACCGAGCACCAAGGCGCCGGGAUUGCGUCCUGAUAGGGCCGAGAGGACCGCGCGCGCCGGGAGUGCUCCAAGCCGCGGUGAAGGAGCCGGCUUGGAGCGUGCAUGUGUGUACGUGAUCCUUAUGCAGACUACGUUCUAAAAGGCAAGGGUCCUUGCAGUGUCCAUUGAUGGAGCCAAGCAUCUAAAGUGAUUGAUGCAGAGUUACCUAGUAAGACUCCCCAAAUGAAUGAUAAGUAAGUUAGCAGAUGAUUUGAUGAGAGAACGAGCAUUAACAGGGAAAAAUCAUGUUCUUGUGUAAAGCUAUGAAUUUCAUAUAAUUUAAUUUGUUUCAUAUGUAAUUUUUCUUUUGUGGUGCCUAGGAACCAGACCUGGGGCCUUGCACAUGUAAGGUGAGCAUUUGAGCAAUUUACUACUGAAUUAUACCCCAGCUUAAAAAGGAAGAGGUGACUUCUGUUCCUUUGAGUCUUGAUUUGAAAAGACACACAAGACCCAGAGAAAUUAUUUCCUUUCACAAGAUAAUCGCUAAAUGAAGGCAAUUGUGAUACAGGCUCAUGGGCCAUCAAAACUCAGUUAAACCAGCAGUACCCCAGUCCAGUUACAACGCUCAUCUCUGCAUUUCUACCACUUGAAUCACUUUCAGCUCCUUCAUUUACAAAGUUAAUAGCUCAGGAAAGGUGAAAAUUUUGCUUAAAAAUGU